CCUACGGGUGGCUGCAGUGGGGAAUAUUGGACAAUGGGCGAAAGCCUGAUCCAGCCAUGCCGCGUGUGUGAAGAAGGCCUUCGGGUUGUAAAGCACUUUCAGUGGGGAAGAAAGCCUUGGGGCUAAUACCCUCGAGGAAGGACAUCACCCACAGAAGAAGCACCGGCUAACUCCGUGCCAGCAGCCGCGGUAAUACGGAGGGUGCGAGCGUUAAUCGGAAUUACUGGGCGUAAAGCGCGCGUAGGCGGUCUGAUAAGCCGGUUGUGAAAGCCCCGGGCUCAACCUGGGAACGGCAUCCGGAACUGUCAGGCUAGAGUGCAGGAGAGGAAGGUAGAAUUCCCGGUGUAGCGGUGAAAUGCGUAGAGAUCGGGAGGAAUACCAGUGGCGAAGGCGGCCUUCUGGACUGACACUGACGCUGAGGUGCGAAAGCGUGGGUAGCAAACAGGAUUAGAUACCCUGGUAGU
RNAcentral lists this ribosomal RNA (464 nucleotides) under Vreelandella stevensii. RNAcentral's name for it is "partial 16S ribosomal RNA". It matches the Rfam family "Bacterial small subunit ribosomal RNA", at positions 338 to 794 of the family's 1533-position model. The record is from RNAcentral. Lineage: Bacteria; Pseudomonadati; Pseudomonadota; Gammaproteobacteria; Oceanospirillales; Halomonadaceae.